CCUACGGGGGGCUGCAGUGGGGAAUAUUGGACAAUGGGCGAAAGCCUGAUCCAGCCAUGCCGCGUGUGUGAAGAAGGCCUUCGGGUUGUAAAGCACUUUCAGUGGGGAAGAAAGCCUUGGGGCUAAUACCCUCGAGGAAGGACAUCACCCACAGAAGAAGCACCGGCUAACUCCGUGCCAGCAGCCGCGGUAAUACGGAGGGUGCGAGCGUUAAUCGGAAUUACGGGGCGUAAAGCGCGCGUAGGCGGUCUGAUAAGCCGGUUGUGAAAGCCCCGGGCUCAACCUGGGAACGGCAUCCGGAACUGUCAGGCUAGAGUGCAGGAGAGGAAGGUAGAAUUCCCGGUGUAGCGGUGAAAUGCGUAGAGAUCGGGAGGAAUACCAGUGGCGAAGGCGGCCUUCUGGACUGACACUGACGCUGAGGUGCGAAAGCGUGGGUAGCAAACAGGAUUAGAUACCCCAGUAGUC
RNAcentral lists this ribosomal RNA (465 nucleotides) under Vreelandella stevensii. RNAcentral describes it as "partial 16S ribosomal RNA". It matches the Rfam family "Bacterial small subunit ribosomal RNA", at positions 338 to 795 of the family's 1533-position model. The record is from RNAcentral. Lineage: Bacteria; Pseudomonadati; Pseudomonadota; Gammaproteobacteria; Oceanospirillales; Halomonadaceae.